GAUUAAAACUCAAAGGAAUAGACGGGGACCCGCACAAGUGGUGGAGCAUGUGGUUUAAUUCGAAGAUACGCGAAGAACCUUACCUAGCCUUGACAUUGAUUGAAUUUUCCAGAGAUGGAGAAGUGCCUUUCGGGGAACAUGAAAACAGGUGCUGCACGGCUGUCGUCAGCUCGUGUCGUGAGAUGUUGGGUUAAGUCCCGCAACGAGCGCAACCCUCGUCCUUAGUUGCCAGCAGGUUAAGCUGGGCACUUUAAGGAGACUGCCUUCGCAAGAAGGAGGAAGGUGAGGACGACGUCAAGUCAUCAUGGCCCUUAUGGCUAGGGCUACACACGUGCUACAAUGGGGCGUACAGAGAGUUGCGAUACCGCGAGGUGGAGCCAAUCUCAUAAAGCGUCUCUCAGUUCGGAUUGAAGUCUGCAACUCGACUUCAUGAAGCUGGAAUCACUAGUAAUCGUAGAUCAGCAAUGCUACGGUGAAUACGUUCCCGGGUCUUGUACUCACCGCCCGUCACACCAUGGGAGUUGAUUUCACCCGAAAUUGGGAAGCUAACCUUCGGGAGGCUACCACUUACGGUGGAAUUAGCGACUGGGGUGAAGUCGUAACAAGGUAACC
RNAcentral lists this ribosomal RNA (612 nucleotides) under uncultured bacterium. RNAcentral describes it as "bacterial SSU rRNA". It matches the Rfam family "Bacterial small subunit ribosomal RNA", at positions 892 to 1501 of the family's 1533-position model. The record is from RNAcentral.